UUGCCCUAGUAACGGCGAGUGAAGCGGCAACAGCUCAAAUUUGAAAUCUGGCGCCUUCGGUGCCCGAGUUGUAAUUUGUAGAGGGUAGCUCGAGCCCGCCCCCGUCUAAGUCCCCUGGAACGGGGCGUCGUAGAGGGUGAGAAUCCCGUAUGCGACGGGGUGGCGUGCUCGUGUGAGCUCCCUUCGACGAGUCGAGUUGUUUGGGAAUGCAGCUCUAAAUGGGAGGUAAAUUCCUUCUAAAGCUAAAUACCGGCCAGAGACCGAUAGCGCACAAGUAGAGUGAUCGAAAGAUGAAAAGCACUUUGGAAAGAGAGUUAAAAAGCACGUGAAAUUGUUGAAAGGGAAGCGCUCACGACCAGACUCGGGUGCGGCUGCUCAGCCGGUCUUCUGACCGGUGCAUCGGUUGUACCCGGGCCAGCAUCGGUUCGGGCGGUCGGAUAAAGGUUCCGGGAACGUAGCUCCUCUCGGGGAGUGUUAUAGCCCGGGGCGCAAUGCGGCCUGCCCGGACCGAGGAACGCGUUCGCUAGGAUGCUGGCGUAAUGGUCGUUAGCGGCCCGUCUUGAAACACGGACCAAGGAGUCUACCAUCUGUGCGAGUAUUAGGGUGUCAAACCCUUGUGCGUAAUGAAAGUGAACGGAGGUGGGAACCCUUUGGGUGCACCAUCGACCGAUCCAGAUGUCCUCGGACGGAUUUGAGUAAGAGCACCGCUGGUGGGACCCGAAAGAUGGUGAACUAUGCGCGGAUAGGGUGAAGCCAGAGGAAACUCUGGUGGAGGCUCGCAGCGGUUCUGACGUGCAAAUCGAUCGUCAAAUCUACGCAUAGGGGCGAAAGA
This 832-nucleotide ribosomal RNA is filed under the name Thyrinula dunnii. RNAcentral describes it as "partial 28S ribosomal RNA". It matches the Rfam family "Eukaryotic large subunit ribosomal RNA", at positions 75 to 930 of the family's 3401-position model. Lineage: Eukaryota; Fungi; Ascomycota; Dothideomycetes; Asterinales; Asterinaceae. The record is from RNAcentral.